UACACGCUGUGACUAGCAUAUCAAUAAGCGGAGGAAAAGAAACUAACAAGGAUUCCCCUAGUAACGGCGAGUGAAGCGGGAAGAGCUCAAAUUUGAAAUCUUAAAGGGGUUUCCCUUUACGAAUUGUAGUUUAAAGAAGUGUUUUCUGUUGAGGUUUUGGUAAAAGUUCUUUGGAAUAGGACAUCAUAGAGGGUGAGAAUCCCGUAUUUGACCUUUACUUUCAACUUUGUGAUACACUUUCAAAGAGUCGGAUUGUUUGGGAAUGCAGUCCAAAAUGGGUGGUAAAUUUCAUCUAAAGCUAAAUAUUGGCGAGAGACCGAUAGCGAACAAGUACCGUGAGGGAAAGAUGAAAAGAACUUUGAAAAGAGAGUUAAACAGUACGUGAAAUUGUCAAAAGGGAAGCGUUUGACACCAGUGUUGUUUUUCCUGAAAAUCAAUUAAAGAACUGUUUAUGCUAAGCUGUUUAGACUUUAUCAGCUAUCUGUUUAGUUUUGAGCUUUUCUUUAAUGCACUUUUCAGUUAACAAGUCAACAUCAAUUUCUUUUGCUGUAAAAAAGCUUGAGGAAGGUGGCUUGAGAUCCGUCUUAAGUGUUUAUAGCCUCUUGCCUAUGCAGUCGGAGAGAUUGAGGUCUGCAGCGUAGAUCCUUCGGGGCUAAAUGCAUUUGUGCUAAGUUAUAGCAUUUCAUAGACAACUUGUUGACUAUGAUUUGUCUUGUAGCUUACUCGCUUAUGUUAUUUUACCUACGCUUAGGAUGUUGACGAGACUGUCGAUCUC
Molecule: ribosomal RNA, 775 nt
Filed under: uncultured Neocallimastigales
Lineage: Eukaryota; Fungi; Neocallimastigomycota; Neocallimastigomycetes; Neocallimastigales
Description: partial large subunit ribosomal RNA
Rfam family: Eukaryotic large subunit ribosomal RNA
Source: RNAcentral